Molecule: ribosomal RNA, 460 nt
Filed under: uncultured bacterium
Lineage: Bacteria
Description: partial 16S ribosomal RNA
Rfam family: Bacterial small subunit ribosomal RNA
Source: RNAcentral
CCUACGGGGGGCAGCAGUGAGGAAUAUUGGUCAAUGGACGAGAGUCUGAACCAGCCAAGUAGCGUGAAGGAUGACUGCCCUAUGGGUUGUAAACUUCUUUUAUAUGGGAAUAAAAUGUUCCACGUGUGGGAUUUUGUAUGUACCAUAUGAAUAAGGAUCGGCUAACUCCGUGCCAGCAGCCGCGGUAAUACGGAGGAUCCGAGCGUUAUCCGGAUUUAUUGGGUUUAAAGGGAGCGUAGGUGGAUUGUUAAGUCAGUUGUGAAAGUUUGGGGCUAAACCGUAAAAUUGCAGUUGAAACUGGCAAGCUUGAGUACAGUAGAGGUGGGCGGAAUUCGUGGUGUAGCGGUGAAAUGCUUAGAUAUAACGAAGAACACCGAUUGCGAAGGCAGUUCACUGGACUGCAACUGACACUGAGGCUCGAAAGUGUGGGUAGCAAACAGGAUUAGAUACCCUUGUAGUC